UGCUCUCACACAUCCAUCUCACCCCUAUGUGCACCACCGCGUGGGUCCCCCUUCUGGCUCNUUCCNAGGGGGGCUCGCGUUUUCACACAAACUUGACGCANUGUAGAAUGUCUUUUUUCUUUUGCGAUCACACNCAAUCAAUACAACUUUCAACAACGGAUCUCUUGGCUCUCGCAUCGAUGAAGAACGCAGCGAAAUGCNAUACGUAAUGUGAAUUGCACAAUUCANUGAAUCAUCNAAUCUUUGAACGCACCUUGCGCCCCUUGGCAUUCCGAGGGGCACACCCGUUUGAGUGUCGUGAAAUUCUCAAAACCCUUUCUUUUUGGUCUUUCGAUCNAANAAAGGCUUUUGGACUUGGAGGCUUUUUGCUGGUUUCACCUUGAAGCGAGCUCCUCCUAAAUGAAUCAGUGGGGUCCGCUUUGCUGAUCCUUGACGUGAUAAGAUGUUUCUACGUCUUGGGUUUUGGCACUGUCCCUUGGGCACCUGCUUCAAACCGUCUCAUUGACAACGAUGGUGUUCCGGUCACCGCC
RNAcentral lists this ribosomal RNA (530 nucleotides) under uncultured Russula. RNAcentral describes it as "eukaryotic LSU rRNA". The stretch from base 145 to 298 matches the Rfam family "5.8S ribosomal RNA". Lineage: Eukaryota; Fungi; Basidiomycota; Agaricomycetes; Russulales; Russulaceae. The record is from RNAcentral.